RNAcentral lists this ribosomal RNA (604 nucleotides) under uncultured Helotiales. RNAcentral describes it as "eukaryotic LSU rRNA". It matches the Rfam family "Eukaryotic large subunit ribosomal RNA", at positions 1 to 605 of the family's 3401-position model. Lineage: Eukaryota; Fungi; Ascomycota; Leotiomycetes; Helotiales. The record is from RNAcentral.
UUGACCUCGGAUCAGGUAGGGAUACCCGCUGAACUUAAGCAUAUCAAUAAGCGGAGGAAAAGAAACCAACAGGGAUUGCCUCAGUAACGGCGAGUGAAGCGGCAACAGCUCAAAUUUGAAAUCUGGCUCUUUCAGGGUCCGAGUUGUAAUUUGUAGAAGAUGCUUUGGGUGUGGCUCCGGUCUAAGUUCCUUGGAACAGGACGUCAUAGAGGGUGAGAAUCCCGUACGUGACUGGUUGCCUCCGCCCGUGUAAAGCUCUUUCGACGAGUCGAGUUGUUUGGGAAUGCAGCUCAAAAUGGGUGGUAAAUUUCAUCUAAAGCUAAAUAUUGGCCAGAGACCGAUAGCGCACAAGUAGAGUGAUCGAAAGAUGAAAAGCACUUUGGAAAGAGAGUUAAACAGUACGUGAAAUUGUUGAAAGGGAAGCGCUUGCAACCAGACUUGCAUGCGGUUGAUCAUCCGAGCUUCUGCCCGGUGCACUCGAUCGUAUUCAGGCCAGCAUCGGUUUUGGUGGGCGGAUAAAGGCCUUGGGAAUGUAGCUUCCUUCGGGGAGUGUUAUAGCCCUCGGUGCAAUGCGCCCUANCCGGGACCGAGGACCGCGCUCGGC